GGAUAGCCUCGGGAAACCGGGAUUAAAACCUCAUAAAGCGAUAGAAUCACAUGAUUUGUCGCCAAAGAUUUAUCGGAUAGGGAUGGGCCUGCGUCUGAUUAGUUAGUUGGUGAGGUAACGGCUCACCAAGACAGCGAUCAGUAGCCGACCUGAGAGGGUAACCGGCCACAUUGGAACUGAGACACGGUCCAAACUCCUACGGGAGGCAGCAGUGGGGAAUAUUGCACAAUGGGCGAAAGCCUGAUGCAGCAACGCCGCGUGAGCGAAGAAGGUCCUAUGGAUCGUAAAGCUCUGUCCUUGGGGAAGAAAAAAAUGACGGUACCCAGGGAGGAAGCCCCGGCUAACUACGUGCCAGCAGCCGCGGUAAUACGUAGGGGGCAAGCGUUAUCCGGAAUUAUUGGGCGUAAAGGGUGCGUAGGUGGCCAGGUAAGCGCGGGGUGAAAGGCAAUAGCUUAACUAUUGUAAGCCUUGCGAACUGUCUGGCUUGAGUGCAGGAGAGGAAAGUGGAAUUCCUAGUGUAGCGGUGAAAUGCGUAGAUAUUAGGAGGAACACCAGUGGCGAAGGCGACUUUCUGGACUGUAACUGACACUGAGGCACGAAAGCGUGGGGAGCAAACAGGAUUAGAUACCCUGGUAGUCCACGCCGUAAACGAUGAGUACUAGGUGUCGGGGUCGCAAGGCUUCGGUGCAGCAGUUAACGCAUUAAGUACUCCGCCUGGGGAGUAC
This 725-nucleotide ribosomal RNA is filed under the name uncultured bacterium. RNAcentral's name for it is "bacterial SSU rRNA". It matches the Rfam family "Bacterial small subunit ribosomal RNA", at positions 141 to 883 of the family's 1533-position model. The record is from RNAcentral.